Molecule: long non-coding RNA, 2076 nt
Filed under: Nicotiana tabacum (common tobacco)
Lineage: Eukaryota; Viridiplantae; Streptophyta; Magnoliopsida; Solanales; Solanaceae
Description: long non-coding RNA (NTAB_LNC013300)
Source: RNAcentral
CAAAAAUCAAAUGUCUAUAGUUGCCCCUCUUUUACUGGAAAGACGAAGUAUUUUUAGACAAAGAACGACUAGACAAGUUUUUUUUGACCCGACCUUAUUUAGGGAAACCGAAAGCUAAAAGAAAGGAAAAUGUGACCGAGCCCUGGUAUCUGAGCUGCCUACAUAUCCUUGGCUAUAAAUGAAUCAGGCCAUGUGUAGUUUAGAAGUAAAAACAGUGAUGGAGUAUACUAAGGUGGAGAGCCGAUCGAGGUGUCGUUCCGCUGAGGUUCCGGUCCGCGGUCCCGUUAUUACAUUAAAAUCAAAAAUGAAAAAGACUAACUAAGUCUAUCAGCUACGAGUUACAAGAUUCCUAUCUAUGAGUCUUCUGAAGCUUGAUCUUGAGUUUUGGUUGGUUCUUCAUGCAGACCCUGAUCUGAAUCUUGAUGCCUGUCAGCCGUAGGUGUUGGUUCAAUCUUCUUCAGCUUUUUAGACCAAGACGGGACAUGUAGAUCUUGUGACCUCAGCCCUGUCUUGAGCAACUCAUGUCUUUCAUUAACUUCUGCAUUUGGAUUCACUUCUUAUCUUUCUUUUUGUUGUUGUUUCUUUUUUUUCUUUUUAUUCUGGAUUGUGACAAACUUCUAUUGAUCAUCUCGGACUGCUGACUUGCAUUCUUGACACGAGCUUUUUUUGUUGCUGACCUGAAUUGCAUUCUGAAUUGAAUUCCCUUUUUUCCAGGUGGGCGCCUGAUUGCUGAACUUGAACUGACUUCCUUUGAAGCUGAACUGUUUUCCCUUGAAACUCGAACUGUUUUCCCUUGAAACUUGAACUGUCUUCCUUCGGAACUGUUUUUCCUUGAAACUUGAACUAUCUUCUCUUGUUCUCCAGGUGGGCGCCUGAUUACUAAACUUGAACUGUCUUCCUUCGAAACUGGACCGUUUUCCUUUGUUCUUCAGGUGGGCGCCUGAUUGCUGAAACUUUCUGUGUUGCCUUGUUUUCCAUGUGGGUGCCUGCAAUCAAAACCAACAAAACAAACGAAAUUUUCUGCCCCAGUUUGCACUAGGAAGAUUUGUGAGUUGUUAGCAGUAUCGUAUACCACUUAUACUAUUGAUGCGAUGAUAAGUAAACUAAAGACUAUACUAGGAUGUACGUCUCCUAAAAGUGAUUGAGCUUGCGGAAAACUAUAAACUAAACUUGACUAAAGUAAAGACUGACCUAUUCUCCAAGCGGGACCCCUGAUUUCAAGAAAACUAAACAUUGAUAACUUAAGAAAACUAAAAAUUGACCCCUCUCUUUUUUCAAAUUCAGACUUCUUUUUUUAAAAUAUCCUAGGAGAAAAUUCGUCAGACUAAGCUUUCUAUCUUAGGAGAAAGAUUCAUCAGACUAACACGUUAAUCCUGGGAGAAAAUUCAUCAGACUAGGUCCUUUUUUCUCUUUUUUGUUUUUUUGUGUGUUUUUGGUAUCUUAGGAGAACGAUUCAUCUGACUAAGACGUUUACCCUAGGAGAAAGUUCAUCAGACUAGGUCUUCUAUCUUAGGAGAAAGAUUUAUCAGACUAAGAUUUCUAUCCUAGGAGAAAAUUCAUCAGACUAGGUCUCUUUUCUUAUCUUAGGAGAAAGAUUCAUCAGACUAAGACGUUAAUCCUAGGAGAAAAUUCAUCAGACUAGGUCUCUUUUCUUAUCUUAGGAGAAAGAUUCAUCAAACUAAGACGUUAAUCCUAGGAGAAAAUUCAUCAGACUAGGUCUCUUUCCUUAUCUUAGGAGAAAGAUUUAUCAGACUAAGAUUUUUAUCCUAGGAGAAAGUUCAUCAGACUAGGUCUUCUAUCUUAGGAGAAAUAUUCAUCAGACUAAGAUUUUGAUCCUAGGAGAAAAUUCAUCAGACUAGGUUUUUUAUCUUUUUUUUUGGUAUAUUAGGAGAAAGAUUCAUCGGACUAAUAUUUUUAUCCUGGGAGAAAGUUCAUCAGACUAGGUCACUUUUUUUGGUAUCUUAAGAGAAAGAUUUAUCAAACUAUGAUUUUGAUCCUAGGAGAAGGUUCAUCAGACUCGGUCUUUUUUUUGUUAUCUUAGGAGAAAGAUUCAUCAGACUAAGAUUUCUAUCCUNN